RNAcentral lists this ribosomal RNA (306 nucleotides) under uncultured bacterium. RNAcentral's name for it is "partial 16S ribosomal RNA". It matches the Rfam family "Bacterial small subunit ribosomal RNA", at positions 507 to 807 of the family's 1533-position model. The record is from RNAcentral.
GACAGCAGUAGCCGCGGGAAUACAGAGGAUGCAAGCGUUGUCCGGAUUCAUUGGGCGUAAAGGGUGCGUAGGCGGUCGGGUAAGUCGGAUGUGAAAUCCUGGGGCUCAACCUCAGAACUGCAUUCGAUACUGCUUGGCUAGAGGACUGGAGAGGAGACUGGAAUUCACGGUGUAGCAGUGAAAUGCGUAGAUAUCGUGAGGAAGACCAGCGGCGAAGGCGGGUCUCUGGACAGUUCCUGACGCUGAUGCACGGAGGCCAGGGGAGCAAACGGGAUUAGAUACCCCCGUAGUCCCUGUCUCUUAUAC